RNAcentral lists this ribosomal RNA (787 nucleotides) under Miliammina fusca. RNAcentral's name for it is "SSU rRNA". It matches the Rfam family "Eukaryotic small subunit ribosomal RNA", at positions 1160 to 1676 of the family's 1831-position model. The record is from RNAcentral. Lineage: Eukaryota; Foraminifera; Rzehakinidae.
AAGGGCACCACAAGAACGCGUGGAGCAUGUGGCUUAAUUUGACUCAACGCGGGAAAUCUUACCGGGUCCGGACACACUGAGGAUUGACAGGCGAUAGUACAAUCAAAUUUAUUUGUUUGUAUAUAAAUAUGAUAGUCCUUUCAUGAUUAUGUGAUAGGUGGUGCAUGGCCGUUCUUAGUUCGUGGAGUGAUCUGUCUGCUUAAUUGCGUUUCUUAUGAAUUAAUACGAGUUUGUAUUUAGUAUUCUUUUUAUUAAGUUUACUAUUACUUUCUCAAAUACAAUUCUGAAAGCAACGAACGUGACCGCAACCUCUUGUUGCCUUACGAUAUUUAAAAUACUUGUAUUUUAUUAAUCUAAAGGCUUUAAAACUAGAGGGACCGCUGUCUUUACCCUUAAACCAGAGGAAGGAUGCGGCAAUAACAGGUCUGUGAUGCCCUCAGAUGUUCCGGGCUGCACACGUGCUACAAUGAUCAUAGCAGUGAGCAUCUAAUAAUACAUUAAAAUUUCAAAUUUAUUUGUUAUUUUAAUAAAGCCUAUUUCGAAAGUAAAUAGGUAAUCAAUUAAAAGUCGUGAUUUCCAUACAACACAUUUAAAAAAAAAUUAUUGUUUAUAGUUUCAAUUUAUUUUGUUUCUAUUCCUUUAAUUUUUUUGUGUUAUUAAUUAAUUCAAGGUGGGGACAGACCAUUGUUAAUUGUUGGUCUCGUUUUUAACUAGGAAUGCCUUGUACUGGUCUUUGGUUCAUCAGACCACCAGGAAUACGUCCCUGCCCUUUGUACACACCGCCCGU